This 253-nucleotide ribosomal RNA is filed under the name uncultured bacterium. RNAcentral's name for it is "partial 16S ribosomal RNA". It matches the Rfam family "Bacterial small subunit ribosomal RNA", at positions 524 to 776 of the family's 1533-position model. The record is from RNAcentral.
UACGGAGGGGGCUAGCGUUAUUCGGAAUUACUGGGCGUAAAGCGCACGUAGGCGGAUCAGAAAGUCAGAGGUGAAAUCCCAGGGCUCAACCUUGGAACUGCCUUUGAAACUUCUGGUCUUGAGUUCGAGAGAGGUGAGUGGAAUUCCGAGUGUAGAGGUGAAAUUCGUAGAUAUUCGGAGGAACACCAGUGGCGAAGGCGGCUCACUGGCUCGAUACUGACGCUGAGGUGCGAAAGCGUGGGGAGCAAACAGG